Molecule: long non-coding RNA, 712 nt
Filed under: Homo sapiens (human)
Lineage: Eukaryota; Metazoa; Chordata; Mammalia; Primates; Hominidae
Description: non-protein coding lnc-SLC40A1-3:3
Rfam family: Iron response element II (bases 94-124)
Source: RNAcentral
GGCGGCGGCGGCGGAGAGAGCUGGCUCAGGGCGUCCGCUAGGCUCGGACGACCUGCUGAGCCUCCCAAACCGCUUCCAUAAGGCUUUGCCUUUCCAACUUCAGCUACAGUGUUAGCUAAGUUUGGAAAGAAGGAAAAAAGAAAAUCCCUGGGCCCCUUUUCUUUUGUUCUUUGCCAAAGUCGUCGUUGUAGUCUUUUUGCCCAAGGCUGUUGUGUUUUUAGAGGUGCUAUCUCCAGUUCCUUGCACUCCUGUUAACAAGCACCUCAGCGAGAGCAGCAGCAGCGAUAGCAGCCGCAGAAGAGCCAGCGGGGUCGCCUAGUGUCAUGACCAGGGCGGGAGAUCACAACCGCCAGAGAGGAUGCUGUGGAUCCUUGGCCGACUACCUGACCUCUGCAAAAUUCCUUCUCUACCUUGGUCAUUCUCUCUCUACUUGGGUUAGGAGGUCAGAUUUGCCAGAAAACCAGUGGCACCGUGGUUGUUCCAGGAGGAUAUUUUGUCAUGUUCAUUAAAAGUCCCACAAGAAAGGUGACACAUGCUUAUCCCAACUUUACAGGAGAUCGGAUGUGGCACUUUGCGGUGUCUGUGUUUCUGGUAGAGCUCUAUGGAAACAGCCUCCUUUUGACAGCAGUCUACGGGCUGGUGGUGGCAGGGUCUGUUCUGGUCCUGGGAGCCAUCAUCGGUGACUGGGUGGACAAGAAUGCUAGACUUAAAG